RNAcentral lists this ribosomal RNA (425 nucleotides) under Aname mellosa. Its description in RNAcentral is "partial 16S ribosomal RNA". It matches the Rfam family "Archaeal large subunit ribosomal RNA", at positions 1926 to 2666 of the family's 2987-position model. The record is from RNAcentral. Lineage: Eukaryota; Metazoa; Arthropoda; Arachnida; Araneae; Anamidae.
UAAAAGCUUUCAUUUUUAGUAUCUCCUGCUCAAUGAAAUUUAAAUAGCCGCAGUUUCCUGUGCUAAGGUAGCAUAAUCAUUUGCCUAAUAAUUAUAGGAUAGAAUGAAAGGAGGAACAUGUUAUCUUCUUUAUUAAAUAAAGUACUUAAAAUUAACUUUUAAGUAAGAAUUCUUAAAUAAUUAGGGGGACGACAAGACCCUGACGAACUUUACACUAUGUUUUGCUGGGGUGGCAUAAAAAUUAAACCUUUAUUUCCCUUUUACCUAAAUAUCCAAAAAUUUGAUAAUCAAGUUACCGCAGGGAUAACAGCAUAAUUUUUUCCUGAAGACCUUAUACAAGAAAACGUUUGUGACCUCGAUGUUGAAUUAAAAAUCUAUUAGAGGCAGCACUCUAAUAAGAGAGUCUGUUCGACUCUUAAAAAUUU